This 1324-nucleotide ribosomal RNA is filed under the name Aspergillus niger. RNAcentral describes it as "partial large subunit ribosomal RNA". It matches the Rfam family "Eukaryotic large subunit ribosomal RNA", at positions 76 to 1414 of the family's 3401-position model. The record is from RNAcentral. Lineage: Eukaryota; Fungi; Ascomycota; Eurotiomycetes; Eurotiales; Aspergillaceae.
UGCCUCAGUAACGGCGAGUGAAGCGGCAAGAGCUCAAAUUUGAAAGCUGGCUCCUUCGGAGUCCGCAUUGUAAUUUGCAGAGGAUGCUUUGGGUGCGGCCCCCGUCUAAGUGCCCUGGAACGGGCCGUCAGAGAGGGUGAGAAUCCCGUCUUGGGCGGGGUGUCCGUGCCCGUGUAAAGCUCCUUCGACGAGUCGAGUUGUUUGGGAAUGCAGCUCUAAAUGGGUGGUAAAUUUCAUCUAAAGCUAAAUACUGGCCGGAGACCGAUAGCGCACAAGUAGAGUGAUCGAAAGAUGAAAAGCACUUUGAAAAGAGAGUUAAACAGCACGUGAAAUUGUUGAAAGGGAAGCGCUUGCGACCAGACUCGCCCGCGGGGUUCAGCCGGCAUUCGUGCCGGUGUACUUCCCCGUGGGCGGGCCAGCGUCGGUUUGGGCGGCCGGUCAAAGGCCCCUGGAAUGUAGUGCCCUCCGGGGCACCUUAUAGCCAGGGGUGCAAUGCGGCCAGCCUGGACCGAGGAACGCGCUUCGGCACGGACGCUGGCAUAAUGGUCGUAAACGACCCGUCUUGAAACACGGACCAAGGAGUCUAACAUCUACGCGAGUGUUCGGGUGUCAAACCCGUGCGCGCAGUGAAAGCGAACGGAGGUGGGAGCCCCCUUGCGGGGCGCACCAUCGACCGAUCCUGAUGUCUUCGGAUGGAUUUGAGUAAGAGCGUAGCUGUGGGGACCCGAAAGAUGGUGAACUAUGCCUGAAUAGGGCGAAGCCAGAGGAAACUCUGGUGGAGGCUCGCAGCGGUUCUGACGUGCAAAUCGAUCGUCAAAUUUGGGUAUAGGGGCGAAAGACUAAUCGAACCAUCUAGUAGCUGGUUCCUGCCGAAGUUUCCCUCAGGAUAGCAGUAACGCAAAAUCAGUUUUAUGAGGUAAAGCGAAUGAUUAGAGGCAUUGGGGUUGAAACAACCUUAACCUAUUCUCAAACUUUAAAUAUGUAAGAAGCCCUUGUUGCUUAGUUGAACGUGGGCAUUAGAAUGGAGCGUUACUAGUGGGCCAUUUUUGGUAAGCAGAACUGGCGAUGCGGGAUGAACCGAACGCGAGGUUAAGGUGCCGGAAUGCACGCUCAUCAGACACCACAAAAGGUGUUAGUUCAUCUAGACAGCCCGACGGUGGCCAUGGAAGUCGGAAUCCGCUAAGGAGUGUGUAACAACUCACGGGCCGAAUGAACUAGCCCUGAAAAUGGAUGGCGCUCAAGCGUGCUACCCAUACCUCGCCGUCGGGGUAGAAACGAUGCCCCGACGAGUAGGCAGGCGUGGGGGUCCGUGACGAAGUCCCCU